ACUCCUACGGGAGGCAGCAGUGGGGAAUAUUGCACAAUGGGCGCAAGCCUGAUGCAGCAACGCCGCGUGCGGGAUGACGGCCUUCGGGUUGUAAACCGCUUUCAGCUUCGACGAAGCGCAAGUGACGGUAGAAGCAGAAGAAGGACCGGCCAACUACGUGCCAGCAGCCGCGGUGAUACGUAGGGUCCGAGCUUGUCCGGAAUUAUUGGGCGUAAAGGGCUUGUAGGCGGUUUGUCGCGUCGGAAGUGAAAACUCAGGGCUUAACCCUGACCUGCUUCCGAUACGGGCAAACUAGAGGGAUGCAGGGGAGAACGGAAUUCCUGGUGAGCGGUGGAAUGCGCAGAUAUCAGGAGGAACACCGGUGGCGAAGGCGGUUCUCUGGGCAUCUCCUGACGCUGAGAAGCGAAAGCGUGGGGAGCAAACAGGCUUAGAUACCCUGGUAGCUACGAGU
RNAcentral lists this ribosomal RNA (451 nucleotides) under uncultured bacterium. RNAcentral's name for it is "bacterial SSU rRNA". It matches the Rfam family "Bacterial small subunit ribosomal RNA", at positions 335 to 802 of the family's 1533-position model. The record is from RNAcentral.